Molecule: ribosomal RNA, 465 nt
Filed under: uncultured bacterium
Lineage: Bacteria
Description: partial 16S ribosomal RNA
Rfam family: Bacterial small subunit ribosomal RNA
Source: RNAcentral
CCUACGGGGGGCAGCAGUGGGGAAUAUUGCGCAAUGGGCGAAAGCCUGACGCAGCGACGCCGCGUGAGGGAUGAAGGUCUUCGGAUCGUAAACCUCUGUCAGCAGGGAAGAACGGUCACUGUGCUAAUCAGCAGUGAAUUGACGGUACCUGCAAAGGAAGCACCGGCUAACUCCGUGCCAGCAGCCGCGGUAAUACGUAGGUGGCAAGCGUUAUCCGGAUUUAUUGGGUGUAAGGGGCGUGUAGGCGGGAAUGCAAGUCAGAUGUGAAAACUAUGGGCUCAACCCAUAGCCUGCAUUUGAACCUGUAUUUCUUGAGUACCGGAGAGGUCAUCGGAAGUCCGUGUGUAGCGGUGAAAUGCGUAGAUAUAAGGAAGAACACCAGUGGCGAAGGCGGAUGACUGGACGGCAACUGACGGUGAGGCGCGAAAGCGUGGGGAGCAAUCAGGAUUAGAUACCCGUGUAGUC